Molecule: long non-coding RNA, 4856 nt
Filed under: Salvia miltiorrhiza (redroot sage)
Lineage: Eukaryota; Viridiplantae; Streptophyta; Magnoliopsida; Lamiales; Lamiaceae
Description: long non-coding RNA (SMIL_LNC005372)
Source: RNAcentral
UCAGAUCUGCCGCCGCCGCCUCAUCCUCCGCCACCUGACCGACCUCCUCCACGCCGCCGAUUUCAGAGGACCGGAUCUCCUCCACCGCCGCCGCCUCAUCCUCUACUCCGACGAAGUCUGCCCAAGCCGCGAGAGCUCCGACGAAUUCUUCAAGCUCGGCGCCGCUGGAGAGAGAGAGAGAGGGAGAUGAGAAAGAGAGAGGAGAGAGAGAGAAGGGUAGAAUAGUCAUGACAUACAAAAAAUGGCCAAAAUUUAUGUUUUUUUUAAAUGGUGGACAAAAUUUGAUGUUGUAUGUUGAAUAGGGUCAUUUGGCCCUAUUGUUUGUUUUUUUUAUUUAAUCAAGCUCUUAUAUAAAUGUAUAUGUAUAUUAUUAUAUCUACAGAUUUAUUUAACAUUAUGAAAAUAAAAUGAUCUCCACGCAUAUUGCGUGAGUGGUAGACUAGUUAGUGCAAAAAGUAUCACCCAAACUCGUGCCCAACCUCAUUUGAUCCGUCCAAAUUAAAGGUAAUACAAUUUAAAAUUAUAAAAAAUGAUCAAAAUUUGUAUUUUUACGAUGAAUGGCUAAAUAUUGAGUUCCAACCCCCAAUAUAGCUAUAGGAAUGAAUAUUCUCUUUUAUAAAUAUUGAAUUUCAUUUACACGACAUGUACUUUUCAAGUUAAAAUCCCUCCACUUAACCUGUACUCCCUCUGUCCAUGAAAAAGUGUCAUACUUACCUUUUUUGUCCACAAAAAAGUAUCUUGUUUACCUUUUUGUACAUCCAUCCUUUAUUUUUCAACUUAUUUACAACUUAUGCCAUUAAUGAAUCCACUAUUUUAUUUAGCUCAUGCAAUUAGCACUAAUCCUACUCUCUAACUUUUAUCCACUUAAAAUAAUUUUAUCAGUUUUUUUAAUACUCGUGCCGACAUUCAAAUGGGUCAUUUUUUUGUGGACGGAUGGAGUAAUUAAUAUUAGACCUAAAUUCAAAGACUAACCUUUUUUUAGGGGAAUUCAAAGACUAACUUGACUUACCUCUUGAGCAUCCAUUUUCUUACUUAGGCUAUUUAUUCGUCUUAAAAUUCACCCAAUUUUAAUCGAUUUAGUUUUAAUUUGUAAUUGCCCACCUUAAGUUUCUUGAAUUAAAAUAUGGAUAAGAAAACAAAUGCCACAAAUUCUUCAGUACACUCGAAUGCACAAUGCAAAUAAUAGUCGAAAAAAAAAUAUGGUGAUUGUGGGACCCAUAGCUACGACCUUGUGAAUACAAAACAAGCAGCUGAGCAUUUAGCUCAACCGAUGUUUAUCUUUAUCCCCCGGCCAAUGCCAUUAAAACACAUGAGAUGAGAGUAGCUCAACAAAUACAUGUCCCACAAAAAUGAGAUUAUUUUGGCUAAAAUAAAAUUUAGCAUUGCAAUUAAUGAAAAUCAAAAUGGAGUAGUAAAACUUUAUCCAAGAAAUUGUUGUUCCGUGUGAAUGAUUAUAGCAUGAAAGAAAAAUGGGAGAGGAGAGGAGAGGAGAGGGGUCAUUAAAUGAAGCCAGCAAGAGAAAAACAAAGGGCCUGAUGAUGAUGCAUCAAAAUCUGUGAGAAGUCAGCAUCUAAGUUUCAGAGGUAAUUAUAAGUUAGUUAGUGGUCACUUCAAUGUGCCAGACAGACAUGCAAACAUCACAAAUGCCCUGCUUUCUCAACUUCCAAUCCCUUCUAAUUUUAUUUUCAAAUACUCUCCAUGCAAUUAUUCACAUUAUUUAUUUCAUCUGCCAAGUCACAAAUUAUAUCAUUCAAUUUUGGGGCUUAAUUCUUCCCCUCUUCUUAUAUUAUAUGUGUACUAUACCCAAAAAGGAGAAUAUAUGCAAUAGUCAAAAUACGUAUAUCAAGAAUGGCACCAGUUGUGUAUUAUUUUCCAUUCUAGCUAACUUUUGUAUGAAAAACUGAAAAGUAAAAAAAAUUAUAUAGAUGACAAAGGUAAACUAGGAAGUUUGGUAUCAUUUUAUUAUGGCACUUUGAAUUAGGAUACUUAUUCAUGGAACAAAUUUAUUUCUACAUAGAAAAUUUAUUUGAGGAUGGAGGUAGAAUAUAUAAAAAAAACAAGGAAAUGAAAUAUGAAGAAUAUAGUUUGUUUUGGUCGUACGUUGUUAUGGGCAUCCCUUCUAAAAGAGUAAAGAAGCUAUUAGUACCAAAAUUUUGUGACUGAUAUCUGAAUUUCAAUUUCAGGUCCACUUGAAACUUUUGUUAUUUUAUGUCCCUUAAACUUCUUUCUAGGGGAGGAUGUCACAUAUUUUAAUUAAAGUUAUUUGUGUAUUUGAUGAGUGAAGAACGAGUUCCACAAAAAGUGAAGAUUGUAAGAGUAAUAUAUAGUUAGUUAAAUUGUUUUUAAAAAUAAGUUAGGAAGAUGUUUUGAAUCACAAAUCAAAAAUAGAAAGCACUAGUAUCGAUAACUUGUGUUAUUAACAUACGUCUUUGUGAAUAGUAGGUCGUGUCGUGACUCUUAUAAAUUAAAACAUCACAUGUUAAUUACUAGCUAGAUAAUGAUAGUCCUACCUAUAUAUCCAUUCCAUGCACCUACUACCAAUUAUAUUUAAGCAACUAAUUAUUGUUGCCUAAGAUAAUCCCUUAUCCCCGACAUAUCACACUCUCAACUACUAUUCUUUGAUAAUACCCUCCUCUAAUCUUGGCACUAAAACCAAUCGCCAAAACAACAAAAAUGCUAACAUUUUGCUACAUAUGCAUGCACAUUAGAUGUUCUAUUCCAACUUCAUCAAAUUAGCUAACAUCAUAAACAUAAAAGGAUUAAGAAUAGUUUAUUGUCCCAAUUUUGGAAUCUUUCCUAACAACUACAUGAAUUUUUGUUUAUUUUCUAAAAACUUCAAACUUUAAAGAAAGUUGCCGCAACCGAAAACUAGUUGUUGGAAAAGCUGAAUUACUCCCUCCGUUUUUUUAUAAGUGUCCCAUUCAGCUCAUUUUUUGUUUCUUAAUAAGUGUCCCAUUUCAAAAUUUGAGAGUAUAUUUAUGACAAUUUUCCUAUUUUAUCCUUAUUUAAUACUUGUAUGAAUAUAAUAAUUAGUUGUAUAUAUGUAUUUAUUAUGAUAAUUACUAAGGUUACAAAUGUAAAAUAUCUUAUUUUAUUGGUAUGUGUAUUUUGACGGCUGGGGACACUUAAUAAAAAUCGGAGGGAGUAUCUAUCUAGUUUGAUUUUCGUGUGUAAUAUUCAUGUUCAAAACAAACUCAUUCAAGGCCGUGAGCAUGAUAAGAAUAUUCGCACAAGAAUCUUUGUGAGCUGAUUUAACUUUUCGAUGUUAAAUCCUCGAUAUGAUCGAGGUAAAUGGAAACUUUCUGCAAAGUAUGGGCUUUUAUAAAAAGUUAUGGAAGUUUCAAAUUUUGAAAAGGGCUCCAAAAUUCGGAUCAUAUACUUUAUUUAAUUAACUCCAAAGUAAAUUUUGACAUUUUGCAUAAACAACAAAAAAAUACCGAACAUAUUAAGGAACAUAUGUCCCAUUGGUCCUUGGAUAAGUGUUUUAUAUGAAAAUAAAACUUCAUUUCAUCUCUAAUAACUGUCAUAUUUUCAUAAUUCUAUAGUUUUAUGAUGUCAAACUUCUCCCAUCAUAUCUUUAUCCUCAAAGCACAUUACCUUUUCGAUUUUCUAUUAAAUAAUUAGUGGUAAGAUCUACAAAGAGUAACUAGCCGACUUCCUUGGUAUAUGAACUUUGACAGUUGUGGACACUAAGACAAUAUAAUUUUACUUUUUUUACGUAUAUUUAUUGCUUGAAAAAUCGAUAAAAUCUAUACAGAAUUUGUAUUAUACUUUACCAUAAAAUUCUAAAAAAAUUAUUCGAAGACAAAAUUUACUUAUUCGAGAAUGAAUGUACAUAUACUAACUAGAAACCUCUAAGACUGGAGACAUGUAUCUUUGCACGCAUCAUAUCCCAACACGAGACGCUCCUAAAUUAUUGCAAACACACAUAUUUGAUGGUUGAAAUAAUUUGUAUAAAUUUCAGCUUAUCCCUUGAGGAGUAGGGGUGGGGUUAAGGCCAGUUCAUGAGUUAGAAAUGAGAGAAUGACUAAACCAAUAAUUUUGGGAGUGAGCACAUGCAUCUCCACUCUCUACACACACUUUUUUAUCUCAUGCAGCGGUCCAUAAUUGAUUAUGACAUUAUUAUUAUUAUUAUUAUUAUUAUUAUUAUUAUUAUUAUUAUUAUUAUUAUUAUUAUUAUUAUUAUUAUUAUUAUUAUUAUUAUUAUUAUUAUUCACAAAAUUGGCUUCAAAGUCAGCCAUCCAAGCCAGCUGCAUGCUUCUUUUUUUUUUUUUUUUUUUGUAGGAAAAAAAAGAAUACAGCUUGAGAUUCUACCUUUCCGUGGGCCGGGUCGGGCCGGGCCCUACUGAUAGGGUUGUGGCUCCAUUCAUGUGGACAAAGUCUAGUAGGGUUUUAGUGUUAGGGCUGCUGGCUGUUCCAAAAUUUAAGGCUUAUGUUAAAUUCUUGUUUUUUCCCCUCUUUUGUCUUUUGCCCUUUCAAAUUAGGAGCUCGUGUUUUGAUUUUCGCUCAAAGGAAGCAUAAAUUAAUAUUUCUCCUUCACGUUGUUGCCAGUUGGAAUAUAUUGGCUUUAAUUUUAAUUAUAUUAUCAUGUUUUAUACUUCGGUUUGAGGUGGAUUAUUGGACACCACAGACACUGUGGAUCACACAUGCUUAUAUUCUCUUUUAUUUGAUUGGAUUUGAAGCUUUUACUUGAGAUCAAUUUGAAUUCUAUUAGGAAUCCACAGAUAUUAGGAUUACUUUUUAGGAGUUGCCAUGUUCGGAAUCUAUCAACAAUGAUUGGAUUUCAAGCUUUAUCCUGAAAUCGGAUUGGAAAUCGAUAGAUCUUAAGUUUAUCUUUUAGGAGUUGCCAAGUUCCG